This is a non-coding RNA of Rattus norvegicus (Norway rat), 69 nucleotides long. NCBI's taxonomy places the organism in Eukaryota, Metazoa, Chordata, Mammalia, Rodentia, Muridae. The record is from Rfam.
GGGGAUUUAGCUCAGUGGCAGAGCGCUUGCCUAGCAAGCACAAGGCCCUGGGUUCGGUCCCCAGCUCCG